GGACGAGUACCUCAGGGGUAGAGCAACCGGCUGCAGUCCGGUAGUUCACGUGUUCAAAUCACGUCUCGUCCU
Non-coding RNA from Immersiella caudata, 72 nucleotides. NCBI's taxonomy places the organism in Eukaryota, Fungi, Ascomycota, Sordariomycetes, Sordariales, Lasiosphaeriaceae. The record is from the annotation of a GenBank genome assembly.